Molecule: long non-coding RNA, 861 nt
Filed under: Oryctolagus cuniculus (rabbit)
Lineage: Eukaryota; Metazoa; Chordata; Mammalia; Lagomorpha; Leporidae
Description: lncRNA (ENSOCUG00000035049.1)
Source: RNAcentral
GGCGACCCAGGGAGACCCAGGGUCCCCUGCUCCCUGGGGAUUCUGGGAAAUGUGGUUUACACGCUCAGCUUGCGUGUUUCUGACCAACUAAGGUAUUCGUCGAUGAGCUGGGAGCCGAAGAAGUCAGUAUUGCCAGUGCUUGGAGUAGCUUCAUCCAUUAAUAUUGAAAAAGGGCCUUGUGAGUGCCUCCUGUCGCCCUCCACCCCCCGCCCGGAGGCCUUGUCCAGCGCUUGGCCCCAGGUCUAGCCCUUCCGCGUGAUGGACAUUGCACCUGAGGAGUCUCGUCGCAAAUAAGCCCUCUUACAUGAUCUUAUUUCAAAUGUGUCAUCUGCUUGCUGUCAAGACCUUGACGGGAACACACGCACAAGCGGGCUCAGCUGAACACAGAGAUAAGCCUCGAGUGUUGUUUGGAGAAAUAUGCUCUGCGGCUUCGAGAAGAUUGAGGACACGCUGCAGAGUCUCGUGGUGCCUCCGCUGGUGCAACCUGCGUCUACCCAUUUACUAGAUCACAGGCAUGGACGGUCAUCCACUGUGGCCCAGGCUGUCUCAGGCUCUCGGGACAGGGCGAGCAAGACGCCACACUCCACUGGAGCAGACAGACACCAACCAGGCAGAGAAAGAACCCAGCACAGAGCUGAGGGCCCCCUUCUGUCUCUCUCUCCCUGGGAUCAUCCUGCCCCUCUCCCCAAGGGUGAGAGCUUGCUCAGGCCAGGGACCCGCUGCCUUGACUGAGGUAGGGACUCCUUGACUCCCACCACGAAGGGUCUGGGCCCAAAGGUCAAGCCAGGUCUGCCAGUCAAGCUCUCCCUAGAGUAAAGUUGACAUUUUGAUACCCUUCUGUUUGAUUCUGUGUCUACAUUU